GCUUGAAGAAAGACUCUACAAUUGAUAAAACUAAGUCAGACCGAACUGGAUCAUUUUCAAGUAAAAUAGGUAGCAAGGCAAAAAGACCGCCUCAAAGUCGCUGCCCUUGGGGCUCUGCCACUUGCUUUACAGGCUAGGAACGGACAAUGCCGGGAACCCGAGAGCGGCCGGCGCGGACGCCGAGGCAACUUUACUUGGGGCACCCACUACUCGCAAUCAACUCCCGGCCUCCUCUGCUCUCGCGCCUCUAGGGGCUCAAGCACUGCUCCGGGAGCGCGGAAUUUUGAGGAAGAGGGCAGAACUUCAGUAAGGAGACCUGUCUGGGAAACGGUUUCAGGACACGCGGUGGGGAAAGCGACUAGCCUCCGGCAGGGCAGGGCGGGGUGUCCUUACCUGCAGAACCACCGGCCACGAUCUGCCGAGAAGCCUCGCGCACUAAGCCGACUUCAGGCUUGGCGGACAUCUUCGCCAGGCGGGAGGACAAGGGAGUGGGCUGAAAUGCGUCAACAAGCUCGCAGCCUGCACAGCCUACUGCUCCAGAGAGCCCCGGCUGGGCUGGUCCUCAGGCGCGUUGGCUCCCUGUGGAGCAGCAAUCCGGCGACUGCUGGAAAGCGAGGGUUCGAGGCGCAGAUUCGUCGCGCGAUCUCCGGCGCGCCGGAACCUGUCCGCGGCGCUCGCUUGCAGAGGCGCCCUCGGCUCCGAAAAUGUCUCUGGAAAGAAGACCCGCGGAUGGGUUUGGGUUGGCUCACCGCAGCGGAUCAGACUUUGUCUCCUAGAUUGGCGCCCACGCCCUUCUCUAUCAGGAGCCUCCGGCAGUUUGUCAAACUAAACGCGUUGCCUGUGAUAACUCAAGUGAAGUGACCCAGGCCUGGAGCGCCAAGUGCAAAGCGGGGACGACACUUGCACCUCCUGGCAAGCCAGAGCACAGUGAGGUUCAAAAGAAGGGACAAGUGAAUAAAUUCCUCAUUUAGUUGUCCUAUAAUUGUGGUCUGUAGCAACUAAGUCAAAGCAAAUCUAAUUUACACUUAACCUUACAAUAGAGCUAAGGUAGUACUUUACCAAAAAUGGUUUUGAUUUAAGGUAAAAUCAUACCUCAUCAACUUGAGUUUUAUUUACCUAAGGACCAAAAGAAGAAAAAGCCUGGUUACAAAUAGUUUCUUCUAUACCCAGGUCAGUGGUUCUUAAAAGUGGUUUUAGUACCCACAGCAUCAGCAUAAUUUGUGAAUGUGUUAGGAAGUCAAAUGCGUGGGUCCCACCCCGACCUAAACUGAAUCAGAAUCUCUGGGGAUAGGGCCCAGAAACGAGUUCUCUGUUGAUUGUCAUGAACUUUAAAGGUUGUGAACCACUGACUUAAACAAUUGAGGAACAUUAAGGAACUUAACAGUGUAUUCUCUCAAUAAAAUGUUUGAUAAUUCUUACUAGCCCCUUAGGAUAGUUACCAAAACAAAACUACUAAUUUAUACUCUUUUAAAACUACAAGUUGCCUGUGUUAUGUAGGAGAGAUAUAAGAUUGUGAAAUUUUCCAGAAAUACGUGCCACACCCCUAACAGACAGGAGAUGAUAAGAGUAAAAGAGAGAAUUGGGAGGCUUUAGAAGCCCUAUUGUACUAUUUCUUAAAACACAUUAUUUAUUGCUAAAUAUAUUUAGUGUGAGCCAUGUAAAAAUUGCCAUUUUUGGAGGUCAAAAACCGUUGAAUAUCAGCAAUUUAGUAUGGUUCAAUUUAUGUGGUUUCUAAUCAAAUGUACAAAGUACAAUAAUUUGGUUUCAUACUUGAUUUUUUAUUUCUUAGGCUGAGUCAUUAAAAGUUGAUCAGUGAUAUAUGGCAAAAUUAUUUAAAGUGCUUGAGGAAUUGGGGAGACUUGCUGCUUAUGUGAUCAGAUAUACAAAAAUAAAGUUUUUCAUUUCAUAAAUAUUUGAUUAAAACUGC
RNAcentral lists this non-coding RNA (1927 nucleotides) under Pan troglodytes (chimpanzee). The record is from RNAcentral. Lineage: Eukaryota; Metazoa; Chordata; Mammalia; Primates; Hominidae.